RNAcentral lists this microRNA (22 nucleotides) under Cordylochernes scorpioides. Lineage: Eukaryota; Metazoa; Arthropoda; Arachnida; Pseudoscorpiones; Chernetidae. The record is from RNAcentral.
UGAGAGUGGGAAUUUGAGUUAG